This 253-nucleotide ribosomal RNA is filed under the name uncultured bacterium. RNAcentral describes it as "partial 16S ribosomal RNA". It matches the Rfam family "Bacterial small subunit ribosomal RNA", at positions 524 to 776 of the family's 1533-position model. The record is from RNAcentral.
UACGUAGGGCGCAAGCGUUGUCCGGAAUUAUUGGGCGUAAAGCGCACGUAGGCGGCAUUGCAAGUCGGAUGUGAAAUCCCUCGGCUUAACCAAGGAAGUGCAUCCGAAACUGCAGUGCUUGAGUACUUAAGAGGAUCGCGGAAUUCCCGGUGUAGAGGUGAAAUUCGUAGAUAUCGGGAGGAACACCAGUGGCGAAGGCGGCGAUCUGGGAAGAUACUGACGCUGAGGUGCGAAAGCGUGGGGAGCAAACAGG